This 253-nucleotide ribosomal RNA is filed under the name uncultured bacterium. RNAcentral describes it as "partial 16S ribosomal RNA". It matches the Rfam family "Bacterial small subunit ribosomal RNA", at positions 524 to 776 of the family's 1533-position model. The record is from RNAcentral.
UACGGGGGGGGCAAGCGUUGUUCGGAAUUACUGGGCGUAAAGGGCUCGUAGGCGGCCAACUAAGUCGGAUGUGAAAUCCCCAGGCUCAACUUGGGAACUGCAUCCGAUACUGGAUGGCUUGAAUUCGGGAGAGGGAUGCAGAAUUCCAGGUGUAGCGGUGAAAUGCGUAGAUAUCUGGAGGAAUACCGGUGGCGAAGGCGGCAUCCUGGACCGACAUUGACGCUGAUGAGCGAAAGCGUGGGGAGCGAACAGG